Molecule: long non-coding RNA, 2088 nt
Organism: Cavia porcellus (domestic guinea pig)
Lineage: Eukaryota; Metazoa; Chordata; Mammalia; Rodentia; Caviidae
Exons: 3
Source: RefSeq, a predicted model, not a curated record
UCGCCCCAGGUGGCUCCUAGCGUGAGGUUUGGACUCACAAGGACAAGCAGGCGCCUCCGGCCCAGCUGGGGCACCUGCUUCGUGGUUAGGGCCUGAGAAUUAAACGCUACUGCAUGCAAACCCACAGGCAGGCUUAAAUAUCCCAUGGCUUCUCUUCUAGGGGAAAGUCAAAGCAUAAAUAAUUGAAAGAGCAAAAUCAAAGUACAUUAUGGCAAUAGGAAGAUCUUUUGCAAAUGAGAAGAGGGGAUCAUGUGAUGGGGUGGAGGGGGGAGGGAAGAAGGAAGAGGGGAAAAUAAAAAAGAAUUAAGAUGCAUUAUGUGCAGGUACCAACACUUCACGAUCAUUGUAAUUAUUAUGUAUUGCAGACAUGUACUAACAAAAUCUUGAAAAAAUUUUAAAAAGAAAAAUAUGGCGAAAGUUACAUAAAGAAAAUGAGGAAUCCUCUCAAAAAGAAACAGGCUAACACUGAGGAUUGGAAAUUUAUGGCCAACAACUGUUUCUCAAAAUCUGUGCUGGGAAGGUCCAAAGGUCAGCGGUGGAAGCCAGAAAGUCUAUGCCAGCAGGGUUAAGGAGCUGUGCUGGUAUGUUGAGGGUUCUAUGCUGAAGCCGAGAAGUCACACUCAAAACAAAGACCAGGGCUGUCCUGAAAAGCACCACAGCCAUCCUCAGCAACACGGAAGCCCCGAGCUCCUCCAACGACAAGGACAAGCAUAGUCGAGUGCCUGCCAGGGAGCCAGCGUGAAGAGUUCAUCCUGGAGACCAAGCACACAUCUUCCCUGUCAGAGCCAGGAAGCAAUGCAAGAUGUGAGGGUCAGAGCUUCUCCAGGAGAACCAAUGGCUCAAACAGCCACACAUAGGAGAACUCACAAUGCCUCAACGCCUCAGCGCCUCGACUCAGUGACGUAUUAAUGCCUGCCUUCUUCUCCACCUCUCUAUUUUUGCUGGCAACUUUCCUCAGGUGGAGCAUCUAUGCUCAGUGCCAUGCUGAUGUAAUCCAGCUGGCAUUAAAUUGAUCACCAGCUCUUAAUCCGUAACACUCCUCUUUCCUUCUCUUCCCCCGCCUCACUUUCUUGCUUUCUUGUUUCUUUCCAAAAUGUUAUUUUCCCAAUUAUAGUCUAUCUCAUUCAUGAAAUUUCAAGGUGGGAAGAACUUGAAGGUUCUAGACCAAUCACUCACCCUUCCAAAAAUCUUCAUAAAUGGCCAUACAGGGUCUGCUAGGAUAUUUUAGCAAUAAAAAUUACUUUAUCAAGCAACUCAUAUAUUACUUUUGAGAAAAUUCUUCAUUGCUUUGUGCCAGGAUCUGUCUAUGUCUCUGAGAUUCUAUGUAUCUGAAAUUCUGUUUAUCUAUUUCUAUCUAUCUCUGUAUCAUCUAUCUAAAUUCUUUCUUCUUUACUUUUUAAGAAAAAAAUAUUAAAGGUCACCUCUUGAAUUGUUCAACUGUUAUUUUCUAACAACAGGGGUUCUCCUCACCAAAUCCCUGUUCUUGCUAAACAAUUCCUUUUUUUUCCUGUUAUUCUUCAUCUAUUACUAUUAAUUUUAUAACUUUCUUUUCCUUUGAGCAUAUUCCAAUACCUCAAGAGUCGCACUCAAGCGUGGAACACUUGGUUUGGGAUUCGAGUAGUACAAAACAAAAUAUUAAUACCACACCAACUUAUUUAUAUAACUGUCUAGAAUGACUUUUUGGCUGUUUCAUCUCAUUUCUCAUUCAAAUUAAUGCCACUACAAAUAAAAACCUCUAAGCCUUCUCUGUUUUGGUUCGGUCACUUUGUUAAUAUGACAUAAUCCAUGACUUGAUCUUAAGAGGGUGACUGACUACAUUAUUCCUAUUAAAUUCAUCAUCAUUUGAGUUAUUUUUGACACUAUUUUCAGUGCAUUAUUUUACUGUUAGUGUUUUGUUUAACCUUUGUUUAAACCUUUGUCCAUAUUAACUGACAAAAUGUUGAAUAUGGCAGAAUUGAGAUCAGGGUUAUAAAACAUCCCUAUUAAUCGCCAUAAAUGCUUCUAUAUGUUUGAUUUUAAAUUUAUAGCUCUAUGUUGUGUCUGUUUCCAAACUUCAGAUAAAUAUAAUAAAUAUAUCCUGCUGACAUA